Molecule: transfer-messenger RNA, 401 nt
Filed under: uncultured Prevotella sp.
Lineage: Bacteria; Pseudomonadati; Bacteroidota; Bacteroidia; Bacteroidales; Prevotellaceae
Rfam family: transfer-messenger RNA
About the family: Bacterial tmRNA, also known as 10Sa RNA or SsrA, is named for its dual tRNA and mRNA-like properties. Its role is to liberate the mRNA from a stalled ribosome.
Source: RNAcentral
GGGGUUGACUGGAUUUGACAGCAGGCUGAGAUGGUACGUAAGCAUGCGGAGUGACGGCUGUGGACUCCAUAAUCACGUCGGUCGGAAAAUUAAUUGGCGAAACAAAGUACGCUCUCGCUGCCUAAUCGAAGUACAGUAGAUUACUGGCUUUAUUCUCUUACAAGGUGAGAGAACGAGACAUCGCUCUUCUAGAUGUUGUUCCGAAUCGGGAAGGUAUAGCGGUGCAGGAUUAUCGGAAAUAGUCUCUUGGGAGCCUCGACUAGGUGAUGAAGUUUUAGAGGAUAAGGUUGUGAUUGGUGGCUUGGGUCUUGUCACAGCCCGACAAUGAAGGCCAAGAUAAGCAUGUAGAAAGCGUAUGGUUUCCCUGUUUGGACGAGGGUUCGACUCCCUCCAGCUCCACU